GGCGGAGUAGCUCAGGUGGUUAGAGCAGCGGAAUCAUAAUCCGCGUGUCGGGGGGUCAAGUCCCUCCUCCGCUACCA
Molecule: transfer RNA, 77 nt
Filed under: Paracoccaceae bacterium
Lineage: Bacteria; Pseudomonadati; Pseudomonadota; Alphaproteobacteria; Rhodobacterales; Paracoccaceae
Description: Rhodobacteraceae bacterium (marine metagenome) tRNA-Met
Rfam family: tRNA
About the family: Transfer RNA (tRNA) molecules are approximately 80 nucleotides in length. Their secondary structure includes four short double-helical elements and three loops (D, anti-codon, and T loops).
Source: RNAcentral